RNAcentral lists this RNase P RNA (371 nucleotides) under human gut metagenome. RNAcentral describes it as "Bacterial RNase P class A". It matches the Rfam family "Bacterial RNase P class A". From Rfam's summary of the family: Ribonuclease P (RNase P) is a ubiquitous endoribonuclease, found in archaea, bacteria and eukarya as well as chloroplasts and mitochondria. The record is from RNAcentral.
CCGCCUAGGCAAUCGCUGGCUUAUUUUUUUGGAUAAGCGGGAGGAAAGUCCGGGCUGCACAGGGCAGGAUGACGGCUAACGGCCGUGCGUGGUAACACGACGGAAAGUGCCACAGAAAACAAACCGCCGAUGGCGUGUUUUUUUGCACGCACAGGCAAGGGUGAAACGGCAGGGUAAGCGCCUACCGCUUGGGCGGUAACGUCCAAGGCAGGGUAAACCCCAUCCGCAGCAAGACCGAAUAGGAAAACAAUGGCGUUGCCCGCGCCGUUUUCGGGUUGGUCGCUUGAACCUUGGGGUAAUUCAAGGUCUAGAUGAAUGAUUGCCACGAUUUAAAAAAAAUCGCACAGAACCCGGCUUAUCGGGCGGCUUUU